Molecule: non-coding RNA, 72 nt
Organism: Phrynosoma platyrhinos (Desert horned lizard)
Lineage: Eukaryota; Metazoa; Chordata; Lepidosauria; Squamata; Phrynosomatidae
Source: the annotation of a GenBank genome assembly
GCCAGUGUGGCAUAGUGGUUUCAGUGUUGGACUAUAACUCUGGAGACCAGGGUUUGAUUCCCUGCUCAGAAA